RNAcentral lists this transfer RNA (77 nucleotides) under Rickettsiales bacterium. RNAcentral describes it as "tRNA-Arg". It matches the Rfam family "tRNA". Rfam says of the family: Transfer RNA (tRNA) molecules are approximately 80 nucleotides in length. Their secondary structure includes four short double-helical elements and three loops (D, anti-codon, and T loops). The record is from RNAcentral. Lineage: Bacteria; Pseudomonadati; Pseudomonadota; Alphaproteobacteria; Rickettsiales.
GGUCCCGUAGCUCAGCUGGAUAGAGCAACUGCCUUCUAAGCAGUAGGUCGUACGUUCGAAUCGUACCGGGAUCGCCA